CUUUGACCUCAAAUCGGGUGGGACUACCCACUGAACUUAA
This 40-nucleotide ribosomal RNA is filed under the name Guyanagarika pakaraimensis. RNAcentral describes it as "partial 25S ribosomal RNA". The record is from RNAcentral. Lineage: Eukaryota; Fungi; Basidiomycota; Agaricomycetes; Agaricales; Biannulariaceae.